This 484-nucleotide ribosomal RNA is filed under the name uncultured bacterium. RNAcentral describes it as "partial 16S ribosomal RNA". It matches the Rfam family "Bacterial small subunit ribosomal RNA", at positions 30 to 507 of the family's 1533-position model. The record is from RNAcentral.
AUUGAACGCUGGCGGCAGGCCUAACACAUGCAAGUCGAGCGGAUGAAGGGAGCUUGCUCCUGGAUUCAGCGGCGGACGGGUGAGUAAUGCCUAGGAAUCUGCCUGGUAGUGGGGGAUAACGUCCGGAAACGGGCGCUAAUACCGCAUACGUCCUGAGGGAGAAAGUGGGGGAUCUUCGGACCUCACGCUAUCAGAUGAGCCUAGGUCGGAUUAGCUAGUUGGUGGGGUAAAGGCCUACCAAGGCGACGAUCCGUAACUGGUCUGAGAGGAUAAUCAGUCACACUGGAACUGAGACACGGUCCAGACUCCUACGGGAGGCAGCAGUGGGGAAUAUUGGACAAUGGGCGAAAGCCUGAUCCAGCCUUGCCGCGUGUGUGAAGAAGGUCUUCGGAUUGUAAAGCACUUUAAGUUGGGAGGAAGGGCAGUAAGUUAAUACCUUGCUGUUUUGACGUUACCAACAGAAUAAGCACCGGCUAACUUCGUG